UAUUAUAUUUAAUGUUAAUAUAUUACCUGGGUAGUAUUAGGUGAGGUCUUGAAAUCUAAAGAAUUUGGCGGUGUUUUAGUCCUUUCAGAGGAAUCUGUUCUGUAAUUGAUAAUACACGAUUUGUUUUACUUGAUUUUGUUGUCAAUUUGUAUAUCGCCGUCAUAAGAUUAUUUUUGUUGAGAAUUUAAUUUUCUUGGUCUUUUAUUAGAUAGUAUGUCAGGUCAAGGUGCAGUUUAUGAUUAAGUAGAAAUGGAUUACAAUAAUUUUAAUUAUUAUGGAUAAUUAUUUUAGGUUGAUUUGAAAGUGGAUUUGAUUGUAAUUUUAUUUUUAAUUGUUAUGUUGAUUGGGGCUCUAUAAUGUGUACAUAUCGCCCGUCGCUCUCGUUAUUAAAAUGAG
This 396-nucleotide ribosomal RNA is filed under the name Ligypterus fuscus. RNAcentral describes it as "partial 12S ribosomal RNA". The record is from RNAcentral. Lineage: Eukaryota; Metazoa; Arthropoda; Insecta; Orthoptera; Gryllidae.